Molecule: ribosomal RNA, 1157 nt
Filed under: seawater metagenome
Description: bacterial SSU rRNA
Rfam family: Bacterial small subunit ribosomal RNA
Source: RNAcentral
GCAGUGGGGAAUAUUGCACAAUGGACGAAAGUCUGAUGCAGCAACGCCGCGUGAGGGACGAAGGCCUUCGGGUUGUAAACCUCUUUUAGCAGGGAAGAAGCGAAAGUGACGGUACCUGCAGAAAAAGCACCGGCUAACUACGUGCCAGCAGCCGCGGUAAUACGUAGGGUGCAAGCGUUGUCCGGAAUUAUUGGGCGUAAAGAGCUCGUAGGCGGUUUGUCGCGUCUGCUGUGAAAUUUCGAGGCUCAACCUCGAACUUGCAGUGGGUACGGGCAGGCUAGAGUGCAGUAGGGGAGAUGGGAAUUCCUGGUGUAGCGGUGGAAUGCGCAGAUAUCAGGAGGAACACCAAUGGCGAAGGCACAUCUCUGGGCUGUAACUGACGCUGAGGAGCGAAAGCGUGGGGAGCGAACAGGAUUAGAUACCCUGGUAGUCCACGCCGUAAACGGUGGGUGCUAGCUGUGGGCCACAUUCCACGUGGUCCGUGACGAAGUUAACACAUUAAGCACCCCGCCUGGGGAGUACGGCCGCAAGGCUAAAACUCAAAGGAAUUGACGGGGGCCCGCACAAGCGGCGGAGCAUGCGGAUUAAUUCGACGCAACGCGAAGAACCUUACCAAGGCUUGACAUAUACAGGAAAAGCGUAGAAAUACGCUCCCCGCAAGGUCUGUAUACAGGUGGUGCAUGGUUGUCGUCAGCUCGUGUCGUGAGAUGUUGGGUUAAGUCCCGCAACGAGCGCAACCCUCGUCCUAUGUUGCCAGCACGUAAUGGUGGGAACUCAUGGGAUACUGCCGGGGUCAACUCGGAGGAAGGUGGGGAUGACGUCAAAUCAUCAUGCCCCUUAUGUCUUGGGCUUCACGCAUGCUACAAUGGCCGGUACAGAGGGCUGCAAUACCGUAAGGUGGAGCGAAUCCCAAAAAGCCGGUCUCAGUUCGGAUUGAGGUCUGCAACUCGACCUCAUGAAGUCGGAAUCGCUAGUAAUCGUAGAUCAGCAACGCUACGGUGAAUACGUUCCCGGGCCUUGUACACACCGCCCGUCAAGUCACGAAAGUCGAUAACACCCGAAGCCGGUGGCCUAACCGCAAGGAGGGAGCCGUCGAAGGUGGGAUUGGUAAUUGGGACUAAGUCGUAACAAGGUAGCCGUACCGGAAGGUGCGGCUG